RNAcentral lists this long non-coding RNA (231 nucleotides) under Mytilus galloprovincialis (Mediterranean mussel). Lineage: Eukaryota; Metazoa; Mollusca; Bivalvia; Mytilida; Mytilidae. The record is from RNAcentral.
CAUUCAUCAUAUUUAUGACAAAAAGGUACAUUGUCUUAAUUAAAUUACCUAGUAAUUAACACCUUUGAAGUCUUAUCCACUAUAAUUGAUUGUAAUGACAUGAUUAACCUCGUUACCUGGGGGCAAUCAGCAGGUGUCAGAUAUGUAAUUGAACUUCUGAUAAGAAAUCGAUGAAACAAAAGGCAAUUUUACCAAAACGGCACAAGGGUUUUUCGAAAAACGGCGUCAGGG